Non-coding RNA from Lepisosteus oculatus (spotted gar), 91 nucleotides. NCBI's taxonomy places the organism in Eukaryota, Metazoa, Chordata, Actinopteri, Semionotiformes, Lepisosteidae. The record is from Rfam.
UGUCCUUCGCGAAUCUUUUUGCGGUCUGGGCUUGCUGUUUAUAACUAUCAAGCCGGGAAGCCCUUACCCCAAAAAGCAUUUGCGGAGGGCG